Molecule: ribosomal RNA, 894 nt
Filed under: Triticum aestivum (bread wheat)
Lineage: Eukaryota; Viridiplantae; Streptophyta; Magnoliopsida; Poales; Poaceae
Description: partial small subunit ribosomal RNA
Source: RNAcentral
AUGGAACCCUAUGUUGGCAUGAGGUUUGACAACCUUCAAAUUGCUAAGGAUCACUACAACAGCUACGCACUACGGAUGGGUUUCUCUAUCAAGAUGAACACCUCUAGACGGACAGCCCGCACCAAUGAAUUGAUAAAACAACAGUUUUGCUGCAACAAGUUCAAGAAGCCCAAAGCUGAUGAUGGAGGAGCUGAGGCUCCUCCUGUCCUGGACCUUAUUCUAGAUCCAAAAUCUGUUAACAGCGAUGAGGCGAUGGAAGAAGAACCUCCAAUAUUUGCUGAAGAGGAGGCUGGUACUAGUAAGAAGAAGAAGAAGCGCAAACGCGAGACAAUAAAGCAGACUGAAUGCAAGGCGAAAAUGUUGGUGAAGCUGAUAGAUGGGCGAUGGGAGGUGACGCACUUUGUUCGUGACCACAAUCAUCCGCUUGUGAACAAACCAUCAUUGUCCAAAUACUUGAGAUCCCACCAAGGUAUCUCACCUGAUGAAAAGGAGUUUCUGCGCAUCUUGUAUAACUGCAACUUGACUACAGGACGAAUAAUGCAUGUAAUGGCAGAGUUUUAUGGAUCUGAGAUGAUGGUGCCGUUCGGACCAAAGGAAAUAACAAAUCUUUGUACAAGUUUUCGUAGAGAUGACACAAAGAAGGGUGAUCUAAUUGAGACAAUUGCGCACUUCAAGGAUAUACAAAAAACCGAUCCAGACUUCUUCUAUAAGGUGAAAUAUGAUGAAGAGGACAGAGUUGUCAACAUAUUUUGGGUGGACGGCUUAGCUCGAAAAGCUUAUGCGGAGGCGUACCACGAUUGCAUAUCGUUUUACACCACCUACAUGACCAACUUGUACAAUAUGCCGUUCGCGCCCUUCAUAGGAAUAAACCGACUGUUGGGGAACGUAACAUAA